AUUUCCAUAUUAGCCAAAGCAUUGUUCUUCUUCUUUUUGAGGCAAUCGGGGUUAAGUGACUUGCUCAGGGUCACACAGCUAGUAAGUAUCCGAGGUUGGAUUCGCACCCGAGUCCUCCUGACUCCAGGACCGGUAUAAGCAUGGCUAGUCUUCAAGGGAUGUGCAAAGGUGGCGUGGGGGGUGUUCGUGCUGGGCCUCGAUGGUCAAGGCUGACUCUAAGUUCUGCCUGGAGUGCAGCCCAGACAUAAGGUAAACCAUUUUCGUCUAUUUAAUCUCAGAAGCUAGGACAGAGCUCAACACAUAGUGGGGCACUUGAUCAAAUGCUUGGUCGAAUGAAUGAACCUGGGCCAGGGCUGGGGGUGGGGAGCAGUUCCUUCUGCAGUUAAGAAGCAUCUUCCGUUUCUUCAGCUAUGUGUGGCACGACUUGAACCCCGGGUAUCAGUGUUGGUGGAUGCAGUACGUAGCCUCCGCAGGUGACGUCCUGAUGCUGUAGCUGCAUUUCCCCAACACUGACACUUGGGAUUCAAUUCGCACUACUUAUAGAUGAAGAAACUGAGACUCGGAGAGAUUAAGGGACCUGCCCAAGGACCCCGAGUGCUUUGUGCUACAGCGGAGGGACGUCGCCUCCCUCCUUACCUGGGACACCUCCCCUCUCGGCUCCGGCCUUGCCCCAGGAUUGCGCUCAAUGAGCACUUUGCAGCCGGCUUCACCGGACUUGGACGCAGGAGACCCCCUGGGUUGGGCUUUCUCGAGAGUGGCAGGGGAGGGGGCCAAUGGGAGGUGAGCAGAAGCCUCGCCCCGCCCCUCCAUGAGCGCAGGGGCCGCGCACCUGGGCUCCAGACUCCGGACUUUGCUGCGCUUUCGAAGCCCCAACGAGCGUCCGCGCGGGCGACCCGGGCCCCUGCUCAGGUGGCUUUAGCCCAUUCAAUGGCAUCGUUUAAGGAGAAUUCUCUGCUUUUGCUUUGGCCUAGAUCAGAACCACCAUUAAAGCCGUAGCCUGCAGGGACAGUUUCAUUUUUCAUCUCUGAAGCCCCAUGCCCUUGCAGUGAAGGUAUUUGAUAAACGUUUGUUGAAUUGAAUUGACUUGGGUAUCCUCUUCUCCUGGCUUUUGCUCUUAUUUCUUCUGCUGGAACUGCUCCCUUGCUCCCCCUUCCCCUCCCCCAGUCUCUGCCCAUCAAAAGCCCACUGUCUUUCAAGGGUCAGUAAAAAGGCUGCCUUUGUGAAGCCUUUCCCAGUCUGUGGAUCUCUUUCUCCGCUCCCUCCCUCCC
This 1268-nucleotide long non-coding RNA is filed under the name Phascolarctos cinereus (koala). RNAcentral describes it as "lncRNA (ENSPCIG00000028621.2)". The record is from RNAcentral. Lineage: Eukaryota; Metazoa; Chordata; Mammalia; Diprotodontia; Phascolarctidae.